This is a long non-coding RNA of Peromyscus californicus insignis, 3351 nucleotides long. RefSeq lists it as uncharacterized. Lineage: Eukaryota; Metazoa; Chordata; Mammalia; Rodentia; Cricetidae. The record is from RefSeq and is a predicted model, not a curated record. The transcript has 3 exons.
GCGGGGGCGCGGCGGAGCUGCUCCGGUGUGCGCCUCCAGGCGGAGCCGGGGAGCGGGGAGGCGGCGCCUCUGGAGAACAAUAAUCGUAAAACCGGGGGAUGGAGCCCAGGGCUGUGUCCCUCGCCUCCACGGCAGUUCCGAGUUGCUCAAGACAGCCCUUUGCCUUAGGAACCGUGAUCCUGCCUCCAGGCGCUGGCCGCAGAGCGGCCCGGCGGCGCCACGGGACACACCUGACUCGGGGAGCCCUGGGGGAUCCGACCGCCCGGCAAAAUGGAGCCUCGCGAGUCCCGCCUGGCCCCCAGCACGUUCUUCACGGCAGGAGCUCUCGAAUGUGUCCUUCCUUCCCGUCCUCAGGCCAGGUCCAAGGCCUCCUCUAAAGUGUUACUUGCUAUGAUCAACAGAAGGAAUGAGCAAUCCUUGUUUGGAGUAGUGCUUGUCAUCCCAGCACUGGGAAGGCUGAGGCAAGAAGAAUCAGAAGUCUGAGGCCAGCCUGGGCUACAUGCCCUGUCUCCAAGUACAUAAAUAAACAAGUAUAAGAGUAAUUAUUUCUUAAUUUAACAUAUCCUUAAUCAAAAUUGCCAUCAAACUCCCUAUUGGUACCAUCCCAGCUACUAUAUCUAAAUAUGAAAUUUUAACUGGUGCAACCAGAAUUUAAUGUUCUAGCAAAACCUAGUUUGAGUGUUUAUUUUAAGAUUAUCCUGAGUUAAGUAAAGGAAAUCCAGACCUCCAUUUAUUCAGUAAUAUUAAUCAAAAUGCUAACUAUGUACUAGGUAGUCUAAGUACUGUGUGGAUCAAUUCAUGAACAAAAUAAAAGUUGAAUAGACAAUAAAACCAGCAUUUAAGUAUUUUGAUAAUAUUUUAUUUAAAAACCAAUUGUAUUUAUAUAUUAUCAGGGUGGGGAAAUAGACUGUAAAAGGAUGAGGCUUAGAGGUGUAUUUUUUAAUAGAAUAUUCAAAACAGGCCUCACUGAAAAGCACAAACUUAAAGGAGAUGGAGGAGUAAACCACAUGAGUAUGUAAAGAAAAUUUCCAAGCAGAUCAGCCAAUACUUAGCACCAGAGAGAGGAGCCUGCUUAGUGUAUUCAGGUCCACCAAAAGAGGCCAACAUAUCUUUUGAGACUGAGGAGAGUAGUAGGAUAUAAGAGGGUGAUGUGAAGGAUUUUGUAGGGGCUGGAAAGGUAACUCAGUGGCUAAGAGCACUUGCUGCUUUUCCAGAGGACCUGAGUUUGAUUCCCAGCACCCACCUACAAAGCAGCUAAAAACUGCCUUUAAUUCUAGUUCUGGGGUGGGGAUCUGUUGCUCUCUUCUGGCCACCACAGGCAUUGCAUGCACAUGGUACACAGACAUCCAUGCAGGCAACAUCCAUACACAUAAAAUAAAAAUAGUCAAGUAAACCAAGGCCUUGUGGACUAGUAUUAUAAGGAUAUUAGUGUUUACUAAGUAAAAUAGGUGUGGUAGUUUGAGUGAAAGAGCCCCAUAGGCUCAUAGGGUCUGGCACUAUUAGGAAGUGUGGUUUUGUGGUCUUUUUGAAGUAGGUGUGGCAUUGCGUCACUGGAGGUGGGCUUUGAGGUCUCAAAAUGCUCAAGCCAGGACUAGUGUGUCUGAUUCUCUUCCUGCUGCCUGCCGAUCUGGAUGUAGAACUCUCACCUCCAUCUCCAGUACCAUGUCUGCCUGCAUGACACCAUGCUUCUCACAAUGAUGAUAAUGGACUAAACCUCUGAAACCGUAAGGCAGUCUCAAAUGUUUUCUUUUCUAAGAGUUGCUGUGGUCAUGGUGUCUCUUCACAGCAAUAGAAACCCUAACUAGGACAAUAGGGAAACAAUGAGAAAAAGAGAUGUAUACCAUCAUAUUUUAAUAGGAUCACUCCAGCCACUAGAAAAAAGACCAAAAGUGAGAGAAUCUGUAGGAGGCACUCAUAAUACCAUAGACAGGAGAUGAAAGUAACUUGGGUAUGGAUGAUCACAGUGGAUGUGGUGACAAGUGGUCAGAUGUAGGGUUAUUCUUUAACAGGUGAACCCACAGGAUUUCCACACAAAUUAAAUAUGGAAUGUGAGAGAAGUCAAGAAUAACUUUAAGAUCUUUGUCCUGAAGGAUGAAAGUUGCCACAAACUGAGAUGGAUAACAUUCUGAACAGAAUAGUUUUCAUGAAAAAGGAAAUCAAUCAGGAGCAUGUUAACUUCCAGAAUCUUAACAAAAUAAAGGAAAUCUAACACUGAGUUUUUGCACAAUUGUGGAGAGUAAGUCAUUUUCAGCUACUAGCAGUUCAUACCGUGUUGCUGGAUCCUAAUGGCUCCCUCAGGGGAGAGAGUGAGAAAGCACAGUGUCAACAACACAGACAUCGGGAGUCAGUUGACAGCAGUAGCAAACUCAUUUAUUCAAUAAUGGGAAAAGCCUUAUAUACCCUCCUCCUAGCACCCAAGCUGUGUCCCAAUCUGGUGGCAUUAUGUGGUUGUCCCUCAUUGUCUGGGCACGAUCAGGAACUCUGACAGCAACCAGGAACUCUGACUGUGCCUGAUGCUAGGCCCUCAGUCAGACUCCGCAUGAUCAGGAACUCUGACAGCACCUAUUGCUAGGCCCUCGAGCAGAUGAGCAGACUCCAGGUUGGCUCAUAAGGAAGUACAUUAUGUGCAUGCCUUGGCAGUUGGUUUGAGCCAAUUUCCUCACCCUAUGGGCCUGUCCUACUACGAUACAGGGACUAUUUUACACUAAAAAUCUCAUAUUCUACUUGUUUUCAUUUCUUUCCUAUAACAAACAGCAGCCUGAGAGAUGAUCUACAUACAGUCAUCCAGAAAAAGAAUUUUUAUUGAUCACUAAUGCUCCAGUUCUCAACAAGUCAAGGAAUGGGGAACUUAUCUCAUUAUUACCAGAAAACUGACUACACAUGGUACAUUGUGUUUAUUAUGAACAUUGGCAACACUGGAUUAGUUUUUAAAAAAAACAUUGCAGUAAAAAUGGAAGCAAGGACAGAAGAAUGUGAAUAGUAUACUCCACUUGUUUGUCUUCACUGUUGUUGACACAAAUGUCCUGCCCAAGGGAAGGGAGAGGAAAAGGGACAGUUGUUGGCAAUUUGUCCUGAAACUCACUUCCAGCCAACUGAGAAUUUCCAGCUGCCAAAUAUCAGACAGGGAGACCAGAGGAGGCCUCUGAGGAAUAAAGAGAUGAAGAGGUCGGACUCUGGGUGAAGGGCCUGUCUUGUGUUUGGCAUCUUAAAAAAGUGGAAAAGGCUUGGAGCUGUGUGAAGAUGAAGGAGACAGGUAAGAGCCAGAAGAUGUAAUGAAGCAAGGGCCUGGAGCAUCUAGAACAAUUUAAUGAUCCAAUUGUCCUUCCCAGAUAAUCCAUCUUUACAACUUUA